UACGGAAUGUGCAAACGUUAUUCGGAAUCACUGGGCUUAAAGAGUCUGUAGGCGGCAUGUUAGGUGAGGUGUGAAAUCCCCCGGCUCAACCGAGGAAUUGCGCUUCAAACCGGCGUGCUUGAGGAAGAUAGAGGUGGGCGGAACUGAUGGUGGAGCGGUGAAAUGCGUUGAUAUCAUCAGGAACACCGGAGGCGAAGGCGGCCCACUGGGUCUUUUCUGACGCUGAGGGACGAAAGCUAGGGGAGCGAACGGG
This 253-nucleotide ribosomal RNA is filed under the name uncultured bacterium. RNAcentral's name for it is "partial 16S ribosomal RNA". It matches the Rfam family "Bacterial small subunit ribosomal RNA", at positions 524 to 776 of the family's 1533-position model. The record is from RNAcentral.